UUGCAUAUCUCAAAGCGGAGGAAAAGAAACUAACAAGGAUUCCCCUAGUAACGGCGAGUGAAGCGGGAAGAGCUCAAAUUUGAAAUCUGGUAGCCUUCGGUUGCCCGAGUUGUAAUCUAGAGAAGUGUUUUCCGUGCCGGCCCAUGUACAAGUCCCUUGGAACAGGGCGUCAUAGAGGGUGAGAAUCCCGUCCUUGACAUGGACCCCCGGUGCUUUGUGAUACACUUUCAACGAGUCGAGUUGUUUGGGAAUGCAGCUCAAAAUGGGUGGUGAAUUCCAUCUAAAGCUAAAUAUUGGCGAGAGACCGAUAGCGAACAAGUACCGUGAGGGAAAGAUGAAAAGCACUUUGGAAAGAGAGUUAAACAGUACGUGAAAUUGUUGAAAGGGAAACGAUUGAAGUCAGUCAUGCUCUUGGGACUUACCUCCCUUGAGUGGGGUCAACAUCAGUUUUGAUCGAUGGAUAAAGGCACGGGGAAGGUAGCACUCUCGGGUGAACUUAUAGCCUCGCGUCAUAUACAUUGAUUGGGACUGAGGAACGCAGCAUGCCUUAUGGCCGGGAUUCGUCCACGUACAUGCUUAGGAUGUUGACAUAAUGGCUUUAAACGAC
RNAcentral lists this ribosomal RNA (607 nucleotides) under Naganishia albida. RNAcentral describes it as "eukaryotic LSU rRNA". It matches the Rfam family "Eukaryotic large subunit ribosomal RNA", at positions 36 to 648 of the family's 3401-position model. The record is from RNAcentral. Lineage: Eukaryota; Fungi; Basidiomycota; Tremellomycetes; Filobasidiales; Filobasidiaceae.